UACAGAGGUGGCAAGCGUUGUUCGGAAUUACUGGGCGUAAAGGGCUCGUAGGCGGCCAACUAAGUCAGACGUGAAAUCCCUCGGCUCAACCGGGGAACUGCGUCUGAUACUGGAUGGCUUGAAUCCGGGAGAGGGAUGCGGAAUUCCAGGUGUAGCGGUGAAAUGCGUAGAUAUCUGGAGGAACACCGGUGGCGAAGGCGGCAUCCUGGACCGGUAUUGACGCUGAGGAGCGAAAGCCAGGGGAGCAAACGGG
This 253-nucleotide ribosomal RNA is filed under the name uncultured bacterium. RNAcentral describes it as "partial 16S ribosomal RNA". It matches the Rfam family "Bacterial small subunit ribosomal RNA", at positions 524 to 776 of the family's 1533-position model. The record is from RNAcentral.